AUUGAACGCUGGCGGCAUGCCUAACACAUGCAAGUCGAGCGGACGAACGGGGCUCGCUCUUGCAUUCAGUAGCGGACGGGUGAGUAAUGCAUAGGAAUCUGCCCAGUAGUGGGGGAUAGCGUCGCGAAACGGGGACUAAUACCGCAUACGACCUGAGGGUGAAAGUGGGGGAUCUUCGGACCUCACGCUAUCAGAUGAGCCUAUGUCGGAUUAGCUAGUUGGUGGGGUAAAGGCCUACCAAGGCGACGAUCCGUAGCUGGUCUGAGAGGAUGACCAGCCACACUGGAACUGAGACACGGCCCAGACUCCUACGGGAGGCAGCAGUGGGGAAUAUUGGACAAUGGGCGAAAGCCUGAUCCAGCAAUGCCGCGUGUGUGAUGAAGGUCUUCGGAUUGUAAAGCACUUUUAGUUGGGACGAAAAGGAGUGUGUCAAUUCCUCGAUGUUUUGACGUUACCCACAGAAUAAGCACCGGCUAACUACGUG
This 484-nucleotide ribosomal RNA is filed under the name uncultured bacterium. RNAcentral describes it as "partial 16S ribosomal RNA". It matches the Rfam family "Bacterial small subunit ribosomal RNA", at positions 30 to 507 of the family's 1533-position model. The record is from RNAcentral.